AUUUGUUUUCUUUCACAUUUUGAAAUUCUACACAUCAUUUUCAACCUUCUCUAACUAAAUCAUUCUUCCCUCAUUCUCUAACUAAAUCUUCCUAAAUCAAUCGUGAUAUUUUAUUUCAUUAUUUGAGUUCUUACUUGUUAAUAUUAAUUUGCAUUGUGUAACUCUUUCUGAUUUAAGAGCAUUAGGGCACCAACGUCCAAAU
RNAcentral lists this long non-coding RNA (202 nucleotides) under Carica papaya (papaya). RNAcentral's name for it is "long non-coding RNA (CPAP_LNC014680)". The record is from RNAcentral. Lineage: Eukaryota; Viridiplantae; Streptophyta; Magnoliopsida; Brassicales; Caricaceae.